RNAcentral lists this ribosomal RNA (410 nucleotides) under uncultured microorganism. RNAcentral's name for it is "bacterial SSU rRNA". It matches the Rfam family "Bacterial small subunit ribosomal RNA", at positions 509 to 917 of the family's 1533-position model. The record is from RNAcentral.
CAGCCGCCGCGGUAAUACGUAGGGGGCGAGCGUUGUCCGGAAUAAUUGGGCGUAAAGCGCGCGCAGGCGGUCCUUUAAGUCUGAUGUGAAAGCCCACGGCUCAACCGUGGAGGGUCAUUGGAAACUGGGGGACUUGAGUGCAGGAGAGGAGAGCGGAAUUCCACGUGUAGCGGUGAAAUGCGUAGAGAUGUGGAGGAACACCAGUGGCGAAGGCGGCUCUCUGGCCUGUAACUGACGCUGAGGCGCGAAAGCGUGGGGAGCAAACAGGAUUAGAUACCCUGGUAGUCCACGCCGUAAACGAUGAGUGCUAAGUGUUAGAGGGGUCACACCCUUUAGUGCUGCAGCUAACGCGAUAAGAACUCCGCCUGGGGAGUACGGCCGCAAGGCUGAAACUUAAAGGAAUUGGCGGG